GAUCCAGGCGUCGCGGGGAGUACACACACGUCUCUCAGCUGCGGGAGACCAGUGUUCACGCCCCAUUCCCUUGUCUGCGCCUCCUACAACCUGAACCCCUUCGCCAGAGCACCUGCGGCCCUCACACACGCACUCCUCGUAUCCUGAAGGACAUCUUUGGCAAGUGGGGAGUCUCCGUGCCUUGUUACCUUGUCUGCGCCUUCGUCAGGACAGUGGCAAAGGAGGAGGAAGAGGGAAGAGGAAGAGGAAAAGGAAGAGAAGGAGGAAGAGGAGGAGGAGGACGGAGAGGAGGAAGUGAGGACAGAUUAUGAAGUGGAACCAAGAUUGGCGGGAAAAAAAGGAGAAAAUGAAAUGAUAAAUAGAUAAAUAGAUGAAAACUGAAGGAAAGAAGGAAUAGGGAGAGAAAUUGAAGUGAAUGGGCGUGUGAGAUAGAGA
Long non-coding RNA from Portunus trituberculatus (swimming crab), 435 nucleotides. RefSeq lists it as uncharacterized. Lineage: Eukaryota; Metazoa; Arthropoda; Malacostraca; Decapoda; Portunidae. The record is from RefSeq and is a predicted model, not a curated record. The transcript is spliced from 2 exons.